This 732-nucleotide ribosomal RNA is filed under the name uncultured Leptotrichia sp. RNAcentral's name for it is "bacterial SSU rRNA". It matches the Rfam family "Bacterial small subunit ribosomal RNA", at positions 28 to 776 of the family's 1533-position model. Lineage: Bacteria; Fusobacteriati; Fusobacteriota; Fusobacteriia; Fusobacteriales; Leptotrichiaceae. The record is from RNAcentral.
GAUGAACGCUGACAGAAUGCUUAACACAUGCAAGUCGAUGGGGAAGUGGUGCUUGCACCAUGGCAACCAUGGCGGACGGGUGAGUAACGCGUAAGGGACUUACCUGCAGGACUGGGAUAACAGGGGGAAACUCCUGACAAGACCGGAUAAUGUCAUGGAGCUGCAUGGCUUUAUGAUGAAAGGAGACGCCUGCGGAGAGCCUUGCGUCCUAUUAGCUAGUUGGUGAGGUAAGGGCUCACCAAGGCGAAGAUAGGUAGCCGGCCUGAGAGGGUGGACGGCCACAAGGGGACUGAGAUACGGCCCUUACUCCUACGGGAGGCAGCAGUGGGGAAUAUUGGACAAUGGGGGCAACCCUGAUCCAGCAAUUCUGUGUGCACGAAGAAGGUUUUCGGAUUGUAAAGUGCUUUCAGCAGGGAAGAAGUAAGUGACGGUACCUGCAGAAGAAGCGACGGCUAAAUACGUGCCAGCAGCCGCGGUAAUACGUAUGUCGCGAGCGUUAUCCGGAAUUAUUGGGCAUAAAGGGCAUCUAGGCGGCCUGACAAGUCAGGGGUGAAAACCUGCGGCUCAACCGCAGGCCUGCCUUUGAAACUGUGAGGCUGGAGUACCGGAGAGGUGGACGGAACUGCACGAGUAGAGGUGAAAUUCGUAGAUAUGUGCAGGAAUGCCGAUGAUGAAGAUAGUUCACUGGACGGUAACCGACGCUGAAGUGCGAAAGCCGGGGGAGCAAACAGG